UGGGGAAUUUUGGACAAUGGGGGAAACCCUGAUCCAGCCAUCCCGCGUGUGCGAUGAAGGCCUUCGGGUUGUAAAGCACUUUUGGCAGGAAAGAAACGUCGCGGGUUAAUACCCCGCGAAACUGACGGUACCUGCAGAAUAAGCACCGGCUAACUACGUGCCAGCAGCCGCGGUAAUACGUAGGGUGCAAGCGUUAAUCGGAAUUACUGGGCGUAAAGCGUGCGCAGGCGGUUCGGAAAGAAAGAUGUGAAAUCCCAGAGCUUAACUUUGGAACUGCAUUUUUAACUACCGGGCUAGAGUGUGUCAGAGGGAGGUGGAAUUCCGCGUGUAGCAGUGAAAUGCGUAGAUAUGCGGAGGAACACCGAUGGCGAAGGCAGCCUCCUGGGAUAACACUGACGCUCAUGCACGAAAGCGUGGGGAGCAAACAGGAUUAGAUACCCUGGUAGUCCACGCCCUAAACGAUGUCAACUAGCUGUUGGGGCCUUCGGGCCUUGGUAGCGCAGCUAACGCGUGAAGUUGACCGCCUGGGGAGUACGGUCGCAAGAUUAAAACUCAAAUGAAUGACGGGGUCAUAGCUGUUUUCCU
RNAcentral lists this ribosomal RNA (585 nucleotides) under uncultured bacterium. RNAcentral's name for it is "partial 16S ribosomal RNA". It matches the Rfam family "Bacterial small subunit ribosomal RNA", at positions 355 to 1375 of the family's 1533-position model. The record is from RNAcentral.